Molecule: long non-coding RNA, 1133 nt
Organism: Sinocyclocheilus grahami
Lineage: Eukaryota; Metazoa; Chordata; Actinopteri; Cypriniformes; Cyprinidae
Exons: 4
Source: RefSeq, a predicted model, not a curated record
AUGAGACACAGCUCAGGUAUGAAAAUAAAUGCAUAAUUAAAUACAUAAUGCAGGUAUCUAUAGUUAUAUUAUAUUCAGUAUUCUAUUAGUUCAACUGCAUUGGUGAUUCACUUGAAGAACCAGACUACAACAUUUUCUCAGAGGAGUCAAUGAAAGGAAGCUUCAUUCUCUAACUCAUUUGCUGCUUCAUCGGUGUAAUUUUAUUGUGUAUAAACACAGUGUCUCUGCAGGUCACAGUAGAGGGUGUUAUUGGCCGUUCUGUUGUCCUUCCAUGUUCUUCCAAAGAUGAUCAUAAACUUCAAGACAGUGAUGUGCAUUGGAGACGCAAUAAUGAUGAUAUUAUAUAUAGUAUAAUCAAGGGUAAAGAUUCAGAAUUGGGACAGGACCCACAGUACAAGAACAGAGCUGAAACGUUCCCAAAGGAAUAUAAGAGAGGAAACUUCUCCAUCAAACUCAACAAUCUUCAACACACAGAUGCAGGAAAAUACAUCUGUUACAUCACAUGCUCAUCUGAUCUUCAUACUAUUCUGUUGCUCAUCAAUGAAUCAACAGCAGAAAAAGGAAACAAAUCCAUUGAACAAGAAAGCCAAGGAGAAGACAGUGUGAAGAAUCCAUCCCCUGUCCUUCAUCGGACAAGAUAUGCUACUAUCAUUGCCUUUGUAUUACUUGUAAUUGCCUGUUUCUUUUAAGAAAAAGAAUUCAAGCUGCCUAAUUUUCUUCUGUCAUGACAGAAGAACAAGCAGCAGUGAUAUAAAUGACAAACAGGUCCAAAACUCACUUUUCACUUUCUGUAACAUUUGUGAUUAUUGUCUACUAGCUGAAUUGUUACAUCUUUCUUUGGUUCUUUCGUUUGGUGCUGUUACAUUCUUGCUGAAUGAAUUGCAUUGUUCUUAUUUUAUAACAGAAUGAGACUGAAAGAUAUAAUAAAAAAUGUUUUUGCUGUACCUAAAGGACAAACAAGCUGGUCAGUAUGUUCCUGAUUUAAUUCUGUGUUCUUUGAAUUAGUGAAAGAAUUAGUUCUUUGGUCAUGUAGUGUUUGCCAAUAUUAAAAUUAUUUUGUAUUCCUUAUGUAUUGUUUCAUGUUUAAAUUAGAACCACACAUUAUUAAUCAAAUGUGAUUUGUUCAUUCCUGA